Molecule: long non-coding RNA, 1083 nt
Organism: Cyclopterus lumpus (lumpfish)
Lineage: Eukaryota; Metazoa; Chordata; Actinopteri; Perciformes; Cyclopteridae
Exons: 3
Source: RefSeq, a predicted model, not a curated record
UAUGUGGUGCAAUAUAGGCCUUACAUGGCCAAAUAUUCGACCUGACUCCUGCCGCUGGUUGAGUGACUGUGGAAGCUUUUGUUUCAGGGGCCGAAAACCUCCGCGCGCCUCCGCCGCCUCUUGGCAACUGUCGCCAUUAAAGCCGGCAGUAAAAGGUGUGAGGAGAGUGAACAUCGAGGCUGCUGUCAAUGAGAGGACACUUUGACAUGCUGCAUCCUUUCCCGGUGAAUCCCCGGUGCAUCGGAGGGCCCUUUGAAACCAGCGCGGGGAUGGCUGACCCCGCCACAGAGCAUGAAGACUCAUAUGAUGGUGUCAAACAGUAUGAACAAAUGUUAUCUACAAAAUCAUCUACAAAGAGCGCCUGGCGGCCAUUUGGACUCGAUGCGGCACAGAUGACUUAACUCACUCUUGAUAGCGGAGGUAUAAAUCAUCAGCCAAUCAGUGUGGCGACCUUUGACCCUGCCCAGCUGUGUGGAGCGUGCCGCGCAGAGGCAGCACACGUCCACCCGACCUUCAUUACCCUUGCCGCCUCCUCCUCCUCCAUCAUCCUGCUUUCUUAUUCGGAUGAGCCGAUAAGCGGAAGCUUUUUAGAUGAAGUGAAGAGACACAGUUUGAGUUCUUUUAACAAGCGAGAAAGAUGGCUUCUUCCUUUUUCCUUUUAGAGAGCUUGUAUAUUCCGCCCUCCUCGUCACUCCUCUCACUCACUCCUCUUCAGUUUAUCUCCUUUUUUGUGUACUCUCAGUCAAAGCAGGUCAACGAGUUCAUAAGCUCGUUUGGUCAGUGAAGAAGAAAAAUUAAAGGAACGAGCUGGAGAGAGAGAGAGAGGAGCAUUUACUGUACUUUAACCCGACCAAAGGCUAGUCCUGUCAACAUUGAUCAUGGUCCAAUAUGUUGGGACCGGCCCCGAGGGACCACAUGUUCAGGAAGUAACAGGCCGAGCUUGGAAUUAGAGAAGAGGAAGGCCGGCACACUAUAUACGGGCUCAGGUCAGUCUUCACCAGUGAAAAUGCAUCUGUAACUGCUUGUAGAUACAUUUGGCUCCAUUAAUUCAUGUUUCUCUAAUGUUAUGUAGUAGUCUGGAUG